AGCAUAUCAAUAAGCGGAGGAAAAGAAACCAACAGGGAUUGCCCUAGUAACGGCGAGUGAAGCGGCAACAGCUCAAAUUUGAAAUCUGGCCCCCUCGGGGCCCGAGUUGUAAUUUGUAGAGGGUGCUUUGGCGUUGGCACCGGCCUAAGUUCCUUGGAACAGGACGUCACAGAGGGUGAGAAUCCCGUACGUGGCCGGCUGCCUACGCCGUGUAAAGCCCCUUCGACGAGUCGAGUUGUUUGGGAAUGCAGCUCUAAAUGGGAGGUAAAUUCCUUCUAAAGCUAAAUACUGGCCAGAGACCGAUAGCGCACAAGUAGAGUGAUCGAAAGAUGAAAAGCACUUUGGAAAGAGAGUCAAAAAGCACGUGAAAUUGUUGAAAGGGAAGCGCUUGCAGCCAGACUUGCCUGUAGUUGCUCACCCGGGCUCUUGCCCGGUGCACUCUUCUGCGGGCAGGCCAGCAUCAGUUUGGGCGGCCGGAUAAAGGUCCCGGGAACGUAGCUCUCUUCGGGGAGUGUUAUAGCCCGGGGCGCCAUGCGGCCAGCCCGGACUGAGGUCCGCGCAUCUGCUAGGAUGCUGGCGUAAUGGCUGUAAGCGGCCCGUCUUGAAACACGGACCAAGGAGUCUAACAUCUAUGCGAGUGUUUGGGUGUCAAGCCCGGGCGCGCAAUGAAAGUGAACGGAGGUGGGAACCCCCCCGGGGUGCACCAUCGACCGAUCCUGAUGUCUUCGGAUGGAUUUGAGUAAGAGCAUAGCUGUUGGGACCCGAAAGAUGGUGAACUAUGCCUGAAUAGGGUGAAGCCAGAGGAAACUCUGGUGGAGGCUCGCAGCGGUUCUGACGUGCAAAUCGAUCGUCAAAUUUGGGCAUAGGGGCGAAAGACUAAUCGAACUAUCUAGUAGCUGGUUCCUGCGA
RNAcentral lists this ribosomal RNA (909 nucleotides) under Pseudotetraploa curviappendiculata. RNAcentral describes it as "LSU rRNA". It matches the Rfam family "Eukaryotic large subunit ribosomal RNA", at positions 37 to 963 of the family's 3401-position model. Lineage: Eukaryota; Fungi; Ascomycota; Dothideomycetes; Pleosporales; Tetraplosphaeriaceae. The record is from RNAcentral.